UUACCUGCGCGCGAGCUGAUGCAGCAUACCAGCGUGUGUGAAGAAGGUCUUCGGAUUGUAAAGCUCUUUCAGCGGGAAAGAUGAUGAGUGUACCCGCACAAUACGCCCCGGCUAAUUUCCUGCCAACAGCCGCGGUAAU
This 139-nucleotide ribosomal RNA is filed under the name uncultured bacterium. RNAcentral describes it as "partial 16S ribosomal RNA". It matches the Rfam family "Bacterial small subunit ribosomal RNA", at positions 367 to 524 of the family's 1533-position model. The record is from RNAcentral.